This 475-nucleotide ribosomal RNA is filed under the name uncultured organism. RNAcentral describes it as "partial 16S ribosomal RNA". It matches the Rfam family "Bacterial small subunit ribosomal RNA", at positions 335 to 801 of the family's 1533-position model. The record is from RNAcentral.
ACUCCUGCGGGAGGCAGCAGUGGGGAAUAUUGCACAAUGGGCGCAAGCCUGAUGCAGCCAUGCCGCGUGUAUGAAGAAGGCCUUCGGGUUGUAAAGUACUUUCAGCGGGGAGGAAGGCGAUAAGGUUAAUAACCUUGUUGAUUGACGUUACCCGCAGAAGAAGCACCGGCUAACUCCGUGCCAGCAGCCGCGGUAAUACGGAGGGUGCAAGCGUUAAUCGGAAUUACUGGGCGUAAAGCGCACGCAGGCGGUCUGUCAAGUCGGAUGUGAAAUCCCCGGGCUCAACCUGGGAACUGCAUUCGAAACUGGCAGGCUAGAGUCUUGUAGAGGGGGGUAGAAUUCCAGGUGUAGCGGUGAAAUGCGUAGAGAUCUGGAGGAAUACCGGUGGCGAAGGCGGCCCCCUGGACAAAGACUGACGCUCAGGUGCGAAAGCGUGGGGAGCAAACAGGAUUAGAUACCCCAGUAGUCCCAUGAU